AGAAUCAACGCUGGCGGCGUGCCUAACACAUGCAAGUCGCACGAGAAAGGGACUUCGGUCCUGAGUAAAGUGGCGCACGGGUGAGUAACACGUGAAUAAUCUACCUCCGAGUGGGGAAUAACUGAGAGAAAUCUUAGCUAAUACCGCAUAACACUUACGAGUCAAAGCAGCAAUGCGCUUGGAGAGGAGUUCGCGGCAGAUUAGUUAGUUGGCGGGGUAAUGGCCCACCAAGACGAUGAUCU
This 242-nucleotide ribosomal RNA is filed under the name uncultured bacterium. Its description in RNAcentral is "partial small subunit ribosomal RNA". It matches the Rfam family "Bacterial small subunit ribosomal RNA", at positions 26 to 282 of the family's 1533-position model. The record is from RNAcentral.